This 2747-nucleotide small RNA is filed under the name Pongo abelii (Sumatran orangutan). RNAcentral describes it as "retained intron". The record is from RNAcentral. Lineage: Eukaryota; Metazoa; Chordata; Mammalia; Primates; Hominidae.
CCCAGCUGAUUUUUGUACUUUUAGUAGAGAUGGGGUUUCACCACGUUGACCAGGCUGGUCUCAAACUCCUAACCUCAGAUGAUCUGCCCUCCUCCGCCUCCCAAAAUGCUGGGAUUACAGGCAUGAGCCACUGCUCCCAGCCCCCAAACACUUUUAAACUAUCAGAUCCUGUGAGAACUCACUUACUAUCAUGAGAGCAGCAUGAGAAUCACCUCCCACCAGGUUGCUCUCUUGACACAUGGGGAUUACAAUUUGAGAUGAGAUUUGGAUGGGGACACAGAGCCAAACACAAUUCGAGAUGAGAUUUGCUUGGGGACACAGAGCCAAACCAUCUCAUUGUCUGUGUGCUGUUGUGUUUUUGUUCUGGCACUUGGAGAAAACAGCACUGUUUACCUCCGUGGUAAGAUCCCUCCAAAGGUAAACUGUGGCUGUAUGCCUGGGAGGUGAGGGGUUCAAGAUUAAGUUUCCAUAUUCAUUUAACUGAUCAGAUUUUUGUGUUUAGUUUUGUUUUUAUUUUUCAGAGACAGGCUCUUGCUGUCACUCAGGCUGGAACUAAAGGCACAUACCAUCAUGCCUGGCUCAUCUUUUUUUUUUAUUUUUGUAGAGACAGGAUCUUGUUAUGUUGCCCAGGCUGGUCUUGGACUGAUCCUCCCACCUCAACCUCCCAAAGUGAUGAUAUUACAGGUGUGAGCCACCACAUCUGGCCUCUAAUCAGGUUUUUUUUUUUUUUUUUCCUACCAGUUAGAAACAAUAACUUCUCUCUUGGGGUGAUGACUUUCUAUUGAAACACAUUUUCAUAGAAUAAGAUUUUUUUUUCCCCCAAAAGUCAGUAUUUCUUAAAACUCCUUUUAUUAGACCGUGAAUAUUUUUCUCAUUGUGAACAAAACGCCACUUUGUAACACUGCCUCUGAGUACAGUGGGGAGCAAGACUUUAAAAAACUGUUGCUAGCUUUACGACAUCUGCAGAAUUAUUAGAAUUCACCAUGGAGGUCUGUUUGGUGUUGCAGUUAAAAAUAUUAUCCACGAAGAAGUUGAAAAAUAUGAAAAGCAGUAUCGAGGCAAGGAGCUUCUGGGAUUUGUCAACUACAAGACAUUUGAGUUCAUCGUGCAUCAGUACAUCCAGCAGCUGGUGGAGCCCGCCCUUAGCAUGCUCCAGAAAGCCGUGGAAAUUAUCCGGCAAGCUUUCAUUAACAUGGCCAAAAAACAUUUUGGCGAAUUUUUCAACCUUAACCAAACUGUUCAGGUAAGCACCCAGAGUUCACUUGCUAGUCACCUGGACCAUUGGCUGUUUAACCUUGAGAGAAGUUGGAUAUUCACUGUCAUUUGGAACCAUGAGGCCAGGGAUGCAAUGGCAGGCUGGUGGGGCUGGUGACUCCAGGAGCACCUGCCUGCCUGGCUUCUGCUCAGGAGGAGGCUUCACUCCGCAGGAGAAAUGAAAGGAGGCCCGUGCCCUGCCAUCUGUUCUGCACGACCUUACGCAGGACGUGGGGCUCCACCGAGGACUGGCUGGUAGGCUGAAUCUUUUUCAAGCAUAAAGCACGGCAUUGUUUACUAGUCCUACUCUCAAAUGUGUAUGUUUGACUCAAAGAUGUUGCCAUAGCUCUGUGGGUUUCUACUUAGCAACUCUUCCCCCGAGUUACCUUCAGCAAAGGCAAGAGAGGGCAUGUGCCACUUGGGCUAUAGAUAAAAUUCCUCUUCUGCCCAGGCCUGGGCUGGUGGAUUGAAAUCUCAUUCCAUAGUGCAGGCAAGCAAGAAGGACAAUUUCUGUCAUUUUUCCAUCAUGUAAAUUAAUUUCUUCUUUCACCCUUUUUGCCUGUUGGUGAAAAUUAAAUCUCAGUUCUGACUCCCGCCCACUUUCUCCGGGGCUGUGUCUGAGUCCCGGGUGCCUGCUCAUGGGGUGGGUGACCUGCCUGGUCCCCAGUCACCAAGAUGUCCAUUGUCCUUCCCGGGCCUUGGUCCCCUUGGUCCCUGAGCUCCUGCCCAGCCCCGCCGGGACACAGGAAGCACUCGGCUGCAGGCCCAACUGCUCUGGGCCAUGGGAACUCUGGCAUCCACCAAGGGCCUUCACCUCUUUUGUGCUGCCCUUGGAUAGACACAGCCUUGCAGCAGCUCCCAGAUCCACACCAGGGACUGCGGGGCUCUCCAAGGCCAUGGCCUGCACACUGCCCUCAGCCACAACAGAGCCUGGGGGGCUCGCUGCCUCUUGUGUCACAGAUCUUGAGGAGUGCGGCACAAGCCACUUCUGCUCCCAGAGGGUCUACUGUCCUUUGUUGUGUCGACCAAAAAGUGACUGAGGCAGAUCUGCCUCGACCCGAGGUUUAUUUUGCCCAGGUCGAGGAUGUACCUGGGAAAAAGAAACACAAGUUCCAGUGCGAUCUGUGACCUGUGCUUUUCCUAAGAGGGUUUAGGAGAACUUCAGUAUUUAAAAAGGAAAGAGUGAGCAGGUGGGGAAGAAAGAAGGAAGGAGGGUAGGCAAUGAGGCAAUGAGGCAGAGGUCACCCUCGUGUAAGGCUCUGACCAGCACUCAGUGAAUCUGUGUGUUAUAUGUGAAAAGAAAGGCAUGGAGAGAAAGUCAAUCAUGCAUUCAUCUCGCGCUCAGUAAAUCUACAUUUUACAUCAGAUAAAGUGAGCAUGUGAAAUCACAGCUUCUGUUUGGGAACAAAAGAAAGGCAGUUAACUUUCCCUUUGGUAUAGUAAGUUUGGGGUCCCAAGAGUCUAUUUUUCUUUCACAGUUGUCACAUAUACUC